GUCUACAGCCAUGCCACCCUGAAUGUACCCAAUCCUGUCUGAUCUUGGAAGUUAAGCAGGAUCAGGCCUGGUUAGUACUUGGAUGGGAGACUACCUAGGAAUACCAGGUGCUGCAGGUG
RNAcentral lists this ribosomal RNA (119 nucleotides) under Pteropus alecto (black flying fox). The record is from RNAcentral. Lineage: Eukaryota; Metazoa; Chordata; Mammalia; Chiroptera; Pteropodidae.